RNAcentral lists this unclassified non-coding RNA (279 nucleotides) under plant metagenome. Its description in RNAcentral is "partial contains small subunit ribosomal RNA, internal transcribed spacer 1, and 5.8S ribosomal RNA". The record is from RNAcentral.
UUUCCGUAGGUGAACCUGCGGAAGGAUCAUUAUUGAAUAAACAACUUGCAAGGGCUGUCGCUGACCCGACAGGUCGUGCCCGCCCGGGUGCCCUCCCACACAUCCAUCGCACCCCUAUGUGCAUCACCGCGCGGGUCCCCCCUUGGCUUCUUCGGCGGGGGGCUUCCGUUUGCCCUCAUACCUUGCAUCCAGUGUAGAAUGUUUUUUUUGUAUUUGCAAUUACGAAAACAAUACAACUUUCAACAACGGCUCUCUUGAAUCCUGCAGCGAUGAAGAACG